This 163-nucleotide ribosomal RNA is filed under the name Caamembeca spectabilis. RNAcentral's name for it is "5.8S ribosomal RNA". It matches the Rfam family "5.8S ribosomal RNA". Rfam says of the family: 5.8S ribosomal RNA (5.8S rRNA) is a component of the large subunit of the eukaryotic ribosome. The record is from RNAcentral. Lineage: Eukaryota; Viridiplantae; Streptophyta; Magnoliopsida; Fabales; Polygalaceae.
GAACGACUCUCGGCAACGGAUAUCUCGGCUCUCGAAUCGAUGAAGAACGUAGCGAAAUGCGAUACUUGGUGUGAAUUGCAGAAUCCCGUGAACCAUCGAGUCUUUGAACGCAAGUUGCGCCCGAAGCCUUCUGGUCGAGGGCACGUCUGCCUGGGUGUCACGC